AGUGAACGCUGGCGGUAGGCCUAACACAUGCAAGUCGAACGGCAGCACAGUAAGAGCUUGCUCUUACGGGUGGCGAGUGGCGGACGGGUGAGGAAUACAUCGGAAUCUACUUUUUCGUGGGGGAUAACGUAGGGAAACUUACGCUAAUACCGCAUACGACCUACGGGUGAAAGCAGGGGAUCUUCGGACCUUGCGCGAUUGAAUGAGCCGAUGUCGGAUUAGCUAGUUGGCGGGGUAAAGGCCCACCAAGGCGACGAUCCGUAGCUGGUCUGAGAGGAUGAUCAGCCACCCUGGAACUGAGCCACGGUCCAGACGCCUACGGGAGGCAGCAGUGGGGAAUAUUGGACAAUGGGCGCAAGCCUGAUCCAGCCAUCCCGCGUGGGUGAAGAAGGCCUUCGGGUUGUAAAGCCCUUUUGUUGGGAAAGAAAAGCAGCAGGUUAAUACCCCGCUGUUCUGACGGUACCCAAAGAAUAAGCACCGGCUAACUUCGUG
This 492-nucleotide ribosomal RNA is filed under the name uncultured bacterium. Its description in RNAcentral is "partial 16S ribosomal RNA". It matches the Rfam family "Bacterial small subunit ribosomal RNA", at positions 29 to 507 of the family's 1533-position model. The record is from RNAcentral.